This 74-nucleotide transfer RNA is filed under the name Candidatus Peregrinibacteria bacterium CG11_big_fil_rev_8_21_14_0_20_46_8. RNAcentral's name for it is "tRNA-His". It matches the Rfam family "tRNA". From Rfam's summary of the family: Transfer RNA (tRNA) molecules are approximately 80 nucleotides in length. Their secondary structure includes four short double-helical elements and three loops (D, anti-codon, and T loops). The record is from RNAcentral. Lineage: Bacteria; Candidatus Peregrinibacteriota.
GUGUCUAUGGUGUAGUGGUAACACAACAGGUUGUGGUCCUGUUAUCACCGGUUCGAAUCCGGUUAGACACCCCA